UCCGGCUUAUCACCGGCGGUUUCCUUAGAGUGCCCAACUUAAUGAUGGCAACUAAGGACGAGGGUUGCGCUCGUUGCGGGACUUAACCCAACAUCUCACGACACGAGCUGACGACAGCCAUGCAGCACCUGUGUUACGGCUCCCUUUCGGGCACCCUCACAUCUCUAUGAGGUUCCGUACAUGUCAAGGGUAGGUAAGGUUUUUCGCGUUACGUCGAAUUAAACCACAUCAUCCACCGCUUGUGCGGGCCCCCGUCAAUUCAUUUGAGUUUCAGCCUUGCGACCGUACUCCCCAGGCGGCAUAUUUAACGCGUUAGCUCCGGCACAGACCAAAUGAAUGGCCCACACCAAAUAUGCAUCGUUUAGGGCGUGGACUAC
Molecule: unclassified non-coding RNA, 377 nt
Filed under: uncultured bacterium
Lineage: Bacteria
Description: contains 16S-23S intergenic spacer region
Source: RNAcentral